GGACUACAGGCACCUUAUCUAACUUCUUGGUCUACCUUACCACUGUCUUCAACAUGAAAAGCUUCACAGCUGCAACUCUCAUUAACAUUUUCACUGGUAACACCAACUUUGCAACCUUGCUAGGAGCAUUCCUUUGCGACACCUUUUUCGGCCGCUACAAGACAUUGGCAUUUGCUUGUAUAGCAUCUUUUAUGGGGAUGCUGGUAUUAACACUGACAGCCGC
RNAcentral lists this unclassified non-coding RNA (223 nucleotides) under Hevea brasiliensis (rubber tree). The record is from RNAcentral. Lineage: Eukaryota; Viridiplantae; Streptophyta; Magnoliopsida; Malpighiales; Euphorbiaceae.